RNAcentral lists this ribosomal RNA (1544 nucleotides) under Escherichia coli. RNAcentral's name for it is "bacterial SSU rRNA". It matches the Rfam family "Bacterial small subunit ribosomal RNA". Lineage: Bacteria; Pseudomonadati; Pseudomonadota; Gammaproteobacteria; Enterobacterales; Enterobacteriaceae. The record is from RNAcentral.
AAAUUGAAGAGUUUGAUCAUGGCUCAGAUUGAACGCUGGCGGCAGGCCUAACACAUGCAAGUCGAACGGUAACAGGAAACAGCUUGCUGUUUCGCUGACGAGUGGCGGACGGGUGAGUAAUGUCUGGGAAACUGCCUGAUGGAGGGGGAUAACUACUGGAAACGGUAGCUAAUACCGCAUAACGUCGCAAGACCAAAGAGGGGGACCUUCGGGCCUCUUGCCAUCGGAUGUGCCCAGAUGGGAUUAGCUAGUAGGUGGGGUAACGGCUCACCUAGGCGACGAUCCCUAGCUGGUCUGAGAGGAUGACCAGCCACACUGGAACUGAGACACGGUCCAGACUCCUACGGGAGGCAGCAGUGGGGAAUAUUGCACAAUGGGCGCAAGCCUGAUGCAGCCAUGCCGCGUGUAUGAAGAAGGCCUUCGGGUUGUAAAGUACUUUCAGCGGGGAGGAAGGGAGUAAAGUUAAUACCUUUGCUCAUUGACGUUACCCGCAGAAGAAGCACCGGCUAACUCCGUGCCAGCAGCCGCGGUAAUACGGAGGGUGCAAGCGUUAAUCGGAAUUACUGGGCGUAAAGCGCACGCAGGCGGUUUGUUAAGUCAGAUGUGAAAUCCCCGGGCUCAACCUGGGAACUGCAUCUGAUACUGGCAAGCUUGAGUCUCGUAGAGGGGGGGUAGAAUUCCAGGUGUAGCGGUGAAAUGCGUAGAGAUCUGGAGGAAUACCGGUGGCGAAGGCGGCCCCCUGGACGAAGACUGACGCUCAGGUGCGAAAGCGUGGGGGAGCAAACAGGAUUAGAUACCCUGGUAGUCCACGCCGUAAACGAUGUCGACUUGGAGGUUGUGCCCUUGAGGCGUGGCUUCCGGAGCUAACGCGUUAAGUCGACCGCCUGGGGAGUACGGCCGCAAGGUUAAAACUCAAAUGAAUUGACGGGGGCCCGCACAAGCGGUGGAGCAUGUGGUUUAAUUCGAUGCAACGCGAAGAACCUUACCUGGUCUUGACAUCCACAGAACUUUCCAGAGAUGGAUUGGUGCCUUCGGGAACUGUGAGACAGGUGCUGCAUGGCUGUCGUCAGCUCGUGUUGUGAAAUGUUGGGUUAAGUCCCGCAACGAGCGCAACCCUUAUCCUUUGUUGCCAGCGGUCCGGCCGGGAACUCAAAGGAGACUGCCAGUGAUAAACUGGAGGAAGGUGGGGAUGACGUCAAGUCAUCAUGGCCCUUACGACCAGGGCUACACACGUGCUACAAUGGCGCAUACAAAGAGAAGCGACCUCGCGAGAGCAAGCGGACCUCAUAAAGUGCGUCGUAGUCCGGAUUGGAGUCUGCAACUCGACUCCAUGAAGUCGGAAUCGCUAGUAAUCGUGGAUCAGAAUGCCACGGUGAAUACGUUCCCGGGCCUUGUACACACCGCCCGUCACACCAUGGGAGUGGGUUGCAAAAGAAGUAGGUAGCUUAACCUUCGGGAGGGCGCUUACCACUUUGUGAUUCAUGACUGGGGUGAAGUCGUAACAAGGUAACCGUAGGGGAACCUGCGGUUGGAUCACCUCCUUA